This 150-nucleotide ribosomal RNA is filed under the name Scleromitrula calthicola. RNAcentral's name for it is "partial ribosomal RNA". The record is from RNAcentral. Lineage: Eukaryota; Fungi; Ascomycota; Leotiomycetes; Helotiales; Sclerotiniaceae.
AACGGGUAGACCUCCCACCCUUGUGUAUUUAUACUAUGUUGCUUUGGCGGGUUGCAUUUCUCCCAAGGAGGUGCUUCAGGGCUUGCUCGCCCGCCGAAGGAUACCUAAACUCUGUUUAUUAAUGUCGUCUGAGUACUAUAUAAUAGUUAA